GGCCCCAUCGUCUAGCCCGGUUCAGGAUGUGUGGUUCUCAGCCACAAGGCACGGGUUCAAAUCCCGUUGGGGCUA
Non-coding RNA from Candidatus Omnitrophica bacterium 4484_70.1, 75 nucleotides. NCBI's taxonomy places the organism in Bacteria, Pseudomonadati, Candidatus Omnitrophota. The record is from Rfam.